CUACCAAGAGAGAAGCCUGGCAGGCUACAAUCCAUGGAGUCACAAAGAAUUGGACACGACUGAGCAACUGGGUUGGGAAUCUGUUUUUUAAGAAAUUCUCCCUCCAGUAAUUUUGAUGCAACUGUAUUUAGAGAAAACACUGACCUAGGAGACUCCUACAACUGGGAGUGUGAUUGGUCCAACAGAGGAAGUGUUGUGCCUCUUGCUCAUGGCUGACCUCCCUGAAGCUGUUCUAAUCCUCUAGACCUCAGUUUCCUUUUCUGACACAACAAUGUGAGAUUCAAAUGAAGAGCCAGAUGUAAAAAUGGUUUGAAAGAACUAAAAUCUUGACCCCCUAGGAGAGUCCCUGAGCUGACUGUCAUACCAGGAGACACGGAUUCCAAGGCUGCAGACAGACGUGUUGGCCCAGGCUGGACUCCGCCUUCGCAGCCUGUGAGCUUAUUUAGACAGGGCGUGUCUCCAUCCUUGUCUCCAGGUGUCCAGAGGAAGACCUGACGCGUGGAGAGUGGAGAGUUACGCCAUUCUUAAUCAACUCAAUCGCCCCUGUUUUGAAUUUCCUUUUUCGGAUUGCUGCUUGAGUCAGUCGGGAAAGACUGGAAACCCAGGUUCUGUCUCUGCGGUUAGAAGAGGGCCAGCCCCUGUCGCAGUGCUGCCCUUCCUCUCCUACAACCUCAGUGACCUCAGCCUCCUCCCUCAGGAAAGGAUGCUCAGGUUUUCCAUUGAGGUGACCCGGUCCUCCCGGACUCGGAUUUCCCCGGCCUUCGACGCCCAAGGAUGCGCAGGACCCGUUGCCCUGGAAACGUACGAAUGAUUAAGUCGUAAGCCCUCUCUCUCCUCAAGUUUCUAGGUGUCGACUGGGAUGCGGGAGCCACCCUCCCCGCCAACAAGAAGGCCCGGCUUAGAGGUGGUGGCCGCGCGCGCGCCCGUUGCGCGGAGCGAGUGGUAGGGGGUGGAGAGGGCGAGCCCGCUGACCAGACGGCCAAUCAGAGCCGGGAAGGCCAGGGGUCUGGCACCUGAUGGCUACUCAGGCGCGGGCUGAAAGCUCUGUCUGCCCUGAGAUUGGUCGAACUUCCUGCCAAUCGGGGGCGGGCGCUAGAGGGAUUCGGCCAAUAGCGUGAGGCAACCGGGUCAGGCCAGUGGCCCUGUGGUCCCCACAGUGGUCGGCGAGCCGGUCGGCGCUGAGGGAGUCGCCGCCCUCGAGCCUGCGCGCGCUGCGCUCUCGGCCCCUCCGGCCCCGCCUGUCGGCCGCGCCGCGUCAUGCCAGGAUCUGCUGGGUGCUAGUGCCCGGGCUGCCGCCCUCCCGCCCGCCCGCCCGCCCAAAGCCGCGCCCACUGCCCAGAGCCAGAGGGAUGGUGGUAGUCACGGGGCGGGAGCCAGACAGCCGUCGCCCGGACGGUGCCAUGUCCAGCUCCGACGCCGAAGACGACUUUCUGGAGCCGGCUACCCCGACGGCCACGCAGGCGGGGCACGCACUGCCUCUGCUGCCGCAGGAGUUCCCUGAGGUCGUCCCCCUUAACAUCGGAGGGGCUCACUUCACCACACGCCUGUCCACCCUGCGGCGCUACGAGGACACCAUGCUGGCGGCCAUGUUCAGCGGGCGACACUACAUCCCCACCGACGCCGAGGGCCGCUACUUCAUCGACCGCGACGGCGCGCACUUCGGCGAUGUGCUGAACUUCCUGCGCUCGGGGGACCUGCCACCCCGGGAGCGCGUGCGGGCCGUGUACAAGGAGGCCCAGUACUACGCCAUCGGGCCCCUCCUGGAGCAGCUGGAGAACAUGCAGCCACUGAAGGGUGAAAAGGUGCGCCAGGCAUUCCUGGGGCUCAUGCCCUACUACAAAGACCACUUGGAGCGGAUCGUGGAGAUUGCCCGGUUGCGCGCUGUCCAGCGGAAGGCCCGCUUUGCCAAGCUCAAGGUCUGUGUCUUCAAGGAGGAGAUGCCCAUCACCCCCUACGAGUGCCCGCUGCUCAACUCGCUGCGCUUCGAGCGGAGCGAGAGUGACGGGCAGCUCUUUGAGCACCACUGCGAAGUGGACGUGUCUUUCGGGCCCUGGGAGGCCGUGGCUGAUGUUUACGACCUGCUGCACUGCCUGGUCACGGACCUGUCGGCCCAGGGCCUCACCGUGGACCACCAGUGCAUCGGGGUGUGCGACAAGCACCUCAUCAACCACUACUACUGCAAGCGCCCCAUCUAUGAGUUCAAGAUCACGUGGUGGCUGCCAGCAAAUGUGUUGUUUUCUGCUUAAAAUGUGGUAUGUUUGGUGUUGCCAUGCUAAAUCAAGCAGACCCUUCCCUGAGACAUGCAGCUGAACUUCCACCCAGACUUGAAGUUAAAGGGGGAUGGGCCCCCCUGGAGGUCCCUCUGCAGUUACCCUCACCUGGUCUCUGUCCCGGAAGCGGGUUCACCUGAUCCUUCACUGAGGACCCAGAAUGCCCAUUGCUGAAAGCCCUGUACCUCUUUUCUCCUGUCCUGGGCCUGCACCCCCAAGACACUCCAGUGCCUCGGUGGGGUCACAAGGAGGCACCAGCCUGGUAGCCUCUGGCCCUAGUCCCUACAUCUUCCUGAUGCUGGAGUUGGUUGAGGCCGGCGAUCCUUCCAGGUAUGAGAGUUGCACUGUAAUAAACAGAUUCAAGGUCCAGAGGCACCCUGUGAAAGAACCCCUACAGGGAGUAUCUGCAGCAGUCUGGAUCGGUCAAGGUGAAACUGGCAACUUGGUUUGCACAAUGAGGGCGGGUCCAGUUUUUCAAACACUUUGGCUUCAGAAGAGGCUCUGUUACAUGUACAAGACCCCAAGAGGCCAGCAGAGGAAUCCGGCUCUGGUUGCAGCUGAGAGAAGCCACUGCAAACUGCAGGCAGGUACCCACGUGCAGCAGUGCUUAGUUGCUUUGCUCAGUUGUAGCCCGCCAGGCUCCUAUGUGCAUGGGACUCUCCAGGCAAGAAUACUGGAGCGGGUUACCAUGCCCUUCUCCAGGGGAUCUUCGUGACCCAGGGAUUGAACUCAUGUCUCUCUUGCAUUGGCAGGCGGGUUCUUUACCACUGAGCCACUUGUGCAGCAGAGGCCAGCCAAAACCCAGAGCUCCCCAGAGUGGACACGAAAAGGGACAAUGUUUUCUUACAACGGCUGAUGGGCAUGCCAGGGGAGGAAGCUGAACUCCUGCUCACCUCUUUGCCAUCCAUGUGCCUUCAUGUCCCACCCAUUCAAAAUGGAAAAUAACAAAGACUUCUUGGACCUUACAUCUGACAUAUCAAUCUAUAAGGUCUCCGUCCCUGAAUUGAAUUUGGAGUCAUUUGUAUCAGUCAGGAGAAAAAAAAAAACUACACAGUAAUUUGAAUAAUUUAUAUCUUGAAUAUAAAUAGUUACUAAUUAUGAUUGGAGGAAUGAAGGAUUGGCUAAUAAAGAGUAGGGAUAACUAUAAAGAAUAUAGGAAUAGCCAAGAAGCAGCCACUAAGACUGAGAUAGAGGGUCUAAGGAUGAAUACCCCCUCCCCCAAGAGCUGAUAUCCAGACCUUUUUGGACAAGGCAUGGCCAGGUUCAUUGAAUGACAGAGAAGUCAUGGGGGUGCCGUGCUGGUGAAACUUGCUGGAAAUCUACCCUCUGAGGUGCUGGAAAAAUCUGUUCCUUAGGGUGUGUCUUGCCAGAGGCUCUCUACUACAAAACUACCCCUGGAGGUGCUGGGGAAAGCUCUUUGUGACUGCAGACCAACUUGUAUGGCAGGAGCUGGGUGCUGGAGAAGCUAUAUGAGCUGUGAGCAAGCAUACCAGAACCAGAAAGGAAACAUCUCUCCCCCUGCAGUGUCUCACUUAUACGUGGAAUCUAAAGUAUGGUACAAAUGAACCUAUUUACAGAACAGAAGCAGACUCACAGACACAGAGAUCAGACUUGUGGUUGCUGGGGGUAGGAGUCGGGGAGGGAGAGAGAUGGACUGGGAAUUUAGGCUUUGUAGAUGCAAACGACUAAAUUUAGAAUGGAUAAACAACAAGGUCCUACUGUAUAGCACAGGGAACUAUAUAAUUAUUGUAGAAAAUAAUGGCUCAGUGUUAAGUCAAAAUUCUUGUCUUAGGCACACAUUAUUAAAAUUUGAAAUGGAACAGUUUGAACACCUAACUAAAUCAUUAUAGGGAUUUCCCUGGUGGUUGAGUGGUUAAGACUCCACACUCCCAGUAGAGGGGUCCCAGGUUCGAGCCCUGCUCAGGGAACUAUUUAUUACUAGAUCCCACAGGCCACAACUGAGAGUUUGCAUGCUGCAAUUAAAGAACCCACGUGCAGUGAUGAAGACAGAAGGUCUUGCACGUCACAGCUAAGACCCGGUGCAGCCAAAUAAAUAAAUUUUUUAAAUAAAUAAUUAUACCCAUGGGUUAUAACCCAUUGAAUAAAAUAAGAAUCCAUGAAUUCAUAUUGACACAAAUGAAUUGAAUAAGUAAUGGCAUAAAAGAGAUAGAAAGGAAAGUUCUUAAUUAGCAUAAAAUGUCAGCUACUAUAGAAAGAAUGAUGACAUUAGAAAACCCCCAUUAAAAAAACUCCAUUUUGUCAACAUAAUUAGAACUGAAUCAUCAUCAAUCAUCAGUGGACUCUAAAAUAAGUUUUUAAGAAAAAUAGCAUCUUUACAUAGUCUCAAAGUAUUUUCCUAUAAAUUACUAAAUAAUUAUAAAGUAAAAAUAGUGACUUUACAGUGGAAACACCUGAAGGACUCCACUUUCAUCAUUAAUCAAUGUCGUUAGCCAAAAUGGAACAAACAGACAUCAUGUACAUCACCUGUCUUAGUGUCUGCAGAGGAACACAACAUUUUGUGAUUCUUCUGCACCCCCCCCAAAAAAAAAUGAACAGCAUGAAUCUAAUCAUGAGAAAAAAAAUCAGAGAAACCCAAAGUGAAGGACAUGUUUUAGAAUGACCAUCUUAUACUUUUGGGCUUCCCUUAAUGGCUCAGCUGGUAAAAUAAUCCUCCUGCAAUGCGGGAGACCUGGGUUUGAUCCCUGGGUUGGGAAGAUCCCCUGGAGAAGGGAAAGGCUACCCAUUCUAGUAUUCUGGCCUGGAGAAUUCCAUGGACUGUAUAGUCCAUGGGGUCGCAGAGAGUUGGCUACAACUGAGCGACUUUCACUUCACUUAUACUUUACAAAAAUGUCAAGAUUAUGGAAGACAAAUUUAAAUGGAAGAACCAUUCCAGAUUAAAGACUACCUAAGACACAUGACAAUUAAGUGAUCCUGGGUUAGACUUGGGACCAGGGAAACAAUAGCUAUAAGAGACAUUUUUGGCACAAUUGAUAAAUAAGGAUUAUAGAUUAAAUUAGAGGAUUUUAUCAAUGUUAAUUUUCUUGAUUUUGAUAAUUUUGCUUUGGUUUUUCUCAGAGAUUAUUCUUAGGAAACACACACUGAAAUAUGUAGGUGUUUGCAACUUAGUCUUAAGUUCUUCAGGAAAAAAGGGAGAGAAAGAGCACAAAUGAUAAAGAAAAUUGGACAAAUCUACAAAUUCUAGAAACUCAAAAAACUCCAUGUAAGAUUAAUUCAAAGAGACCCACAGAAAACAUUAUAAUCAAAGUGUAGCAAGCCAAAGAAGAAUCUUGAAAGCAUGGAGAGAAGGGGAUUGGUCACUAGUAGACCUGCUCUAUAAGAAAUGCUAGAAGGACUUCUUCAAACCGAA
Molecule: RNA transcript, 5637 nt
Organism: Bubalus bubalis (water buffalo)
Lineage: Eukaryota; Metazoa; Chordata; Mammalia; Artiodactyla; Bovidae
Gene: RABGEF1
Gene name: RAB guanine nucleotide exchange factor 1
Exons: 6
Source: RefSeq, a predicted model, not a curated record